This is a long non-coding RNA of Ceratitis capitata (Mediterranean fruit fly), 1059 nucleotides long. RefSeq lists it as uncharacterized. The transcript has 4 exons. The record is from RefSeq and is a predicted model, not a curated record. Lineage: Eukaryota; Metazoa; Arthropoda; Insecta; Diptera; Tephritidae.
UGUGUUGUCAUUCUUGCCGAACAAGCGUAACUUAGUUGAGCGAUAGCAUUGAUACCAAAACAAAGCAAUGUGCAAUAUUCAGUUGAAUAGAUUGUCUGUUUUAUUUCCAUCAUUACUAUUUUCGAGUAAAACGACAUUUUUAACGUAUUCUUCUUACUUUGUAAAAAGUUUCGCUGUAAAUAAUCAGACAAAUACGAAUACAUAAUUUAAAGCGAACUAUUACUUUGUUCAAACAACUGAUUAAUUUCAAAAUAUAUAGACAGAAGUUCGAAAUAUGCAUAAAGAUCCUAAGUACACCCAAGCAGGGGGCAACAUUUUCGCAAAUUCGUUAAAGUAAUAUCGCGUAAUGCACUUCGUAUUAUUCAGGAAAUUCUGUUAAUAGCAGAUUGACUAGAAUGGACGGAUAAGAUUUUUAACUCGUGAAGGGUGGAAUAUUAUCAAAAUAGCACUACUUAGAGCCGACCCUAACUUGACUGUGAAUAUGAUUGUAUAAGAUUUAUUGAUUUAUUUUUUGUAAUGUCAAAUAAACUUAAAAGAUAUUGUGAAGGAAUUGAGUGAGCGGUUGAACCAUUUGCAUAAAUUUAAAGUUGCGCUCAUUACCCCAAUCAGGAAGUCUUAAAUAGUUUCAAAAAAAUCGGUUUUUAGUUCAAAAAAUAUAAUGUAGUAGUGAAAAUAGAAGCAGUCAGCUGGAAAAUAUAUACGUUUUAUAUUCAUUUUUUCCCAAUGCUUAUUUUAAGAGUUUGUUUCAAAGUAGCUUUGGAUUAUAGUACGGGAAAUUUGAUUUUUUUUUUUUUGGUCGUGGAAGCUUGCUGACAGGCAACUACCUGUUUUUCUAAAUGUAAUCAACUAAAUCACAGCACGAUUGUUUUGUAUAAAAAACAAUUCUUUACAUAUGUACAUAUAUCUCAGAAGUACCAUCUAGAUCACCUGAAGAGCAUGUUUUGCACCAAUAAUAAAAUCGCUAAUGUGUAUUAAUUGUUGAAGGCCACAAUGUUUCUGGUAAGUCCAUAAGCCGAGGUAGACUGCGCGUUCCAUCGAUAUGACAAUCACUAUGGUCCG